Molecule: long non-coding RNA, 1458 nt
Filed under: Bemisia tabaci
Lineage: Eukaryota; Metazoa; Arthropoda; Insecta; Hemiptera; Aleyrodidae
Description: lncRNA ENSSSA1NGG008456
Source: RNAcentral
ACACACCAUAUCCAUUAAGGAUUCGGAAAAGCACGCGAAAUAGCAAAAAAUCAAUUAUAGAAAUAAAAAGAUUGCGUGAGUCCCUGAAUGAAAUAGUUUCCAUUCAUUCGAUUACACCUCACAUCUUCCAUCCUGCUCUUUUAGCUGUGCCGAGUCCUGCAGCUUUCUCUCUCACUCUUUUAUCCGCGACCCCUCUCUCCCCGCUCACCUAUUUUUCUAGGUCAUUUUCAUAAUAGGCGCUACUAGCAGUUCAAAAAAAAUAGACCUCCUCCGCCUCCUCGAUGUCUGAUGUUUUUGUGCCCGUGUUUACAUUGAGGUCCGCGGUUUGGUUAUUAGUGAUUACAUAGAUGCUGUGAUUUUCGAGGAUAAUUUUCAUGGCUUUUUAUAUUUAUCCAUCCCUUUUUAGGGUUUUAAAUUUCUGGAAUACAAGGUGUUAGCCUCUUGAUGGCUAUGCCUACAAGUUUACAAUAUUUUCCUUCGAAUUAGAGUAGUUUUUACCACCCUCAAUGCUCUCUGUCUGUGAUCAGCCCCCCCUGUUUGGUCUCUCUCACCAUUGAUUUCGACAACUGAAAAUGCUAUGUAUAAAGAUGUGGAUCUUGAAACCUGAAACCAUGCCUUUCCUUGAAGCAUUGAAGAAAGCUAUCAAUAACAUUUUAUGAUGAGUAAUCUUGGCAAGCCGCUCGAAAGAGCCCGGGUCCAGACCAUGGAGCCCUCCGAACGGCGCCUGUCGGAUUUGGAUGAGCGACCUGAAAAACCUCCAUCAAAAAGAGAAAUGUCGAAUUUGGUGUUGAUGAGGAACUCCACAUUGGGUCAGUCAGCUCCUUCUUUAUCUUAUCAGAUGAAAGAGCUGAAUAUUGGUGGCAGGAGAAGUAGCCGAGUAAAUCAUCGGAAAAGUUUCAUAGCCAACACAUCACCAACAUUGCCUCGUUGUCAUUCACCCAUGUUAGGAAGUCCUCUGGAAAGUCCAAAAGUCUCCCCUUCAUUGCAUUUUCCUUUUGUUCCUGUUAAAAGGUAUGUAUUACGUGUUGAACUUAUAAAUUAUAAAAGUGAAAGAAAAUAAUAUUUCAAAAUGAUUGUCAGAAUGCCAUGAUCAAAUUAAAUCUUCUUCCUCUAGCCAGUAGAUGAAAAUAUUCUGUUUUGAAACCAAUUGUUUUCAUCUAGAUCUAUUUUCUAAUGAUAAAGUUUCUUUUUGUUGCAACUCAUGGUUAGAAUAAUGCACUUGUUGCUCUAAAAAUGAGAAGUGAUAUCUGAAACUUUGGGGUUUAUCGUAUAAAAAUAGAAAAUAAAUGGCAAUAAAAGGAACCACUAACCUCUGUUUCCCUUCAGCAACAAGCUUGCAAAACACAUUAUUUCACCAUUCUUAUUAUAAAUAAAUAAUAAAAAAAAAAAUUAGGUAACUUCUUUUGAUUAACUCUCAAUUAUUUGUCUAAUACAAAUUAUUUUUUCUUUCUUGUCAAA